Molecule: ribosomal RNA, 150 nt
Filed under: uncultured Bradyrhizobiaceae bacterium
Lineage: Bacteria; Pseudomonadati; Pseudomonadota; Alphaproteobacteria; Hyphomicrobiales; Nitrobacteraceae
Description: partial 16S ribosomal RNA
Rfam family: Bacterial small subunit ribosomal RNA
Source: RNAcentral
CGGAAGCAAAGGGGUGACCCCUAGCAAAUCUCAAUAAACCGUCUCAGUUCGGAUUGGGCUCUGCAACCCGAGCCCAUGAAGUUGGAAUCGCUAGUAAUCGUGGAUCAGCAUGCCACGGUGAAUACGUUCCCGGGCCAUGUACACACCGCC